This 253-nucleotide ribosomal RNA is filed under the name uncultured bacterium. RNAcentral describes it as "partial 16S ribosomal RNA". It matches the Rfam family "Bacterial small subunit ribosomal RNA", at positions 524 to 776 of the family's 1533-position model. The record is from RNAcentral.
UACGAAGGGAGCUAGCGUUGUUCGGAAUCACUGGGCGUAAAGCGUGCGCAGGCGGCUUUCCAAGUCAGAGGUGAAAUGCCGGGGCUUAACCCCGGAACUGCCUUUGAAACUGGAUGGCUUGAGACUCGGAGGGGUUAGCGGAAUUCCUAAUGUAGCGGUGAAAUGCGUAGAUAUUAGGAGGAACACCAAUGGCGAAGGCAGCUAACUGGACGAGUACUGACGCUCAUGCACGAAAGCGUGGGGAUCAAACAGG